AUUUACCUGCUUUAGUUAAAAAGUGAACUAAUUCUCCAGGGAAAGUACUGCAGGCCAGAUCGCACAAUUCUUUGAAACACUCUACACCAAGAACCGCGGUUUGUCGGUCAAAACUACGGAUCUCGUCAAACUUUGACAAAACUCUCGUAUAUAGGAUUCUAAAUGGAUAAAAUCAUAAGCAAACUUUAGAGAUUGGAGGGAUGUACAAUUCAAUAUUCUACUACUUACUGGCCUAUUUCAAAGCAUUUGAUUAUAUCUUGAUUCAGGUGUUUUUGGACAUCAUUGUUCUUCAACUGCUUGGCAAAUUGAUAAGCUCAGUGAUAAUACCUGCGUGUAACUGGAUGAGCUGGAAGUAGCAUAGUUGGCAGAUUGACUGAGCGCCCCAAGAGAAUUUAUCUUGAAGUUUUUUAGUAACUGAAGAUAUCCAAUCACUGCCAUUUCACGAGUCUCAGUUUUCCUAGAGUACAGCGCUUUUCGCAAUACAAUGCUAAGCGUGUCUCUGAUUUCAGUCCGGAAGUGAACGAUUGGAAGAAUGGCAAAUAUAACUUGACUAGCUGCGUUUCCAUUUAUGACAGACAAUUGUUCCACUAAAGAUAUAAUCCAGCCUUGACAUUCGAAAACUACCAGUGGUACUUUCUUGCAAAUUUGCGCGAGGCAAUCUGAAAGAUACAGAAGUUUCAUUCAAUCAACAGUUU
This 695-nucleotide unclassified non-coding RNA is filed under the name Athalia rosae (coleseed sawfly). Its description in RNAcentral is "misc RNA ENSAEAG00005009668.1". Lineage: Eukaryota; Metazoa; Arthropoda; Insecta; Hymenoptera; Athaliidae. The record is from RNAcentral.